RNAcentral lists this ribosomal RNA (349 nucleotides) under Enterobacter hormaechei. Its description in RNAcentral is "bacterial SSU rRNA". It matches the Rfam family "Bacterial small subunit ribosomal RNA", at positions 92 to 444 of the family's 1533-position model. The record is from RNAcentral. Lineage: Bacteria; Pseudomonadati; Pseudomonadota; Gammaproteobacteria; Enterobacterales; Enterobacteriaceae.
CGAGUGGCGGACGGGUGAGUAAUGUCUGGGAAACUGCCUGAUGGAGGGGGAUAACUACUGGAAACGGUAGCUAAUACCGCAUAAUGUCGCAAGACCAAAGAGGGGGACCUUCGGGCCUCUUGCCAUCGGAUGUGCCCAGAUGGGAUUAGCUAGUAGGUGGGGUAACGGCUCACCUAGGCGACGAUCCCUAGCUGGUCUGAGAGGAUGACCAGCCACACUGGAACUGAGACACGGUCCAGACUCCUACGGGAGGCAGCAGUGGGGAAUAUUGCACAAUGGGCGCAAGCCUGAUGCAGCCAUGCCGCGUGUAUGAAGAAGGCCUUCGGGUUGUAAAGUACUUUCAGCGGGG